This is a non-coding RNA of Poecilia formosa (Amazon molly), 46 nucleotides long. The record is from Rfam. Lineage: Eukaryota; Metazoa; Chordata; Actinopteri; Cyprinodontiformes; Poeciliidae.
ACAGUGGCCCUAUUUAGGGCCACCUGAUUUUACUCUCAAGCUGUCU